This 1346-nucleotide long non-coding RNA is filed under the name Cricetulus griseus (Chinese hamster). Its description in RNAcentral is "lncRNA (ENSCGRG00015033036.1)". The record is from RNAcentral. Lineage: Eukaryota; Metazoa; Chordata; Mammalia; Rodentia; Cricetidae.
UAGAGAGCCGGAGACUCUUGGAAUGGCAGGAACAGCGACGAAGAGGUUGGGAGCUCAGGUGUGUUUCAACAGGGGCACACAAGCCUGGCCCAAGACUGAACACAGGUCUCAGAGAAAUGGUGACGGAUUUGGGCCAGGCCACAAACCAGGGUCACCAGGAAGGGUUGGUUUCGGGACAUUUAAAAUGGCAGCAGUUAUAUGUUGGUUGGGUCUGCAUCUCAUGAGAAGAGCAGGAAGAGCUUCAAGCGCAAGGUGAAUGAGAAACCCAGUGCUUGAGGAGAGAGUGGUGCCGUCCCCCCCCCCCCCCCCCACCACCACUCUGCCUUCAGCCACGCGAAGCCACCGCUAGGCUCUCCACUGAGGAGUUGCUGUUGAUGCUGAUCUGGCUUUUCAAGAACCGUCCAAUCCUGAGCGGCCUCCAGACGAAACCAAGCAGGAGAGGCGCCUAAAUCCUGGCUUUUUGUUCUUCUGGCUUCCACUGUCUUCUAGAAAAGCCCACAGGAAUUGGAAAGCCAGAGUGCCAUUUUCCUAGGAGUUACCUGUUGUGGAUGUUGAGUAACCAUUCCCUUCAAAUCCGUGGAAGUUUUAAAGAAAGACUCAACAACUUUCUAAACAGCAUCCUUUCCCCAACAGUGGAAAACCUGGUGCUUCGGGCAAAGCAACUCCUUGCCUUUCUGCCUCACUGGCUUCACAGAGUGAGGAAAGCCACUGUACUGACUGGUUUUAUGUCAACUUGACACAAACUAGAGUCACCCGAAAGGAGGGACUCUCAAUUAAGAAAAUGUUUCCAUAAGAUCCAGCUUGUGUGUGGGGCCACCCCUGGGCUGGUGGUCCAGAGUUCUAUCAGAAAGCAGGCCUGAACAAAGCAUGAUGAGCAAGCCAGUAAGCAGCCCUCCUCCGUGGUCUCUGCAUCAGCUCCUGCCUCCAGGCUCCUGCCCUGUUUGAGUUCUUGUCCUGACUUGUUUCAGUGAUGGACUACAACGUGGAAAUCCCUGUCUUCAGGUUAUAGUCCAGGAAGAUCCACCAACAUCCAAGUUGGAGACUCAAGAGAAAGCCACCCAUUGUAUCCUCUGGCAACCAUGAACAAAUUUUCUUCCCUGGCAUGCAGAGUUAUGGAAUCCUGAAGACAAUGGAAACAAAUGUCAUCUAGAAUCCCAGUAAAUAAACAUAUUUCUUUUAUUUCUUAAAGGUUUGUUUCUUAUGUAUACAGUGUUCUGUCUGCACGUACCCCUGUAGGCCAGAAGAGGGCACCAGAUCUCAUUACAGAUGGUUGUGAACCACCAUGUGGUUGCUGAGAAUUGAACUCAGGAUCUCUGGAAGAGCAGCCAGUGCUCUUAACCUCUGAG